GACGAACGCUGGCGGCGUGCCUAAUACAUGCAAGUCGAACGCUGAAGGAGGAGCUUGCUCUUCUGGAUGAGUUGCGAACGGGUGAGUAACGCGUAGGUAACCUGCCUGGUAGCGGGGGAUAACUAUUGGAAACGAUAGCUAAUACCGCAUAAGAGUAGAUGUUGCAUGACAUUUACUUAAAAGGUGCAAUUGCAUCACUACCAGAUGGACCUGCGUUGUAUUAGCUAGUUGGUGGGGUAACGGCUUACCAAGGCGACGAUACAUAGCCGACCUGAGAGGGUGAUCGGCCACACUGGGAAGGAGACACGGCCCAGAAGCCUACGGGAGGCAGCAGUAGGGAAACUUCGGGAAUGGACGGAAGGCUGACCGAGGAACGCCGCGGGAGGGAAGAAGGGUGUCGGAUCGUAAAGAUCUGUUGUAAGAGAAGAAAGAGAGUGAGAGUGGAAAGUGCACACUGUGACGGUAUCUUACCAGAAAGGGACGGCUAACUACGUG
This 495-nucleotide ribosomal RNA is filed under the name uncultured bacterium. Its description in RNAcentral is "partial 16S ribosomal RNA". It matches the Rfam family "Bacterial small subunit ribosomal RNA", at positions 28 to 507 of the family's 1533-position model. The record is from RNAcentral.